Molecule: ribosomal RNA, 330 nt
Filed under: Triticum aestivum (bread wheat)
Lineage: Eukaryota; Viridiplantae; Streptophyta; Magnoliopsida; Poales; Poaceae
Description: partial small subunit ribosomal RNA
Source: RNAcentral
AUGGUCGGGCUCUCUCUCCGCCGCACGCGCUGCUCCCCGCAGCCGGCCAGGUGCUCUCCAGCCGGUGAGACCGCCGCAGCCUCUCUCCCCCCACCGGCCUGUCCACCGCCGACCCCACUCCACACAGCCGCCGGUGGAACCCUACUCCAUACUGCCGCCGCCUCCACUGGCAGGAGCUUUCUCCGCUGCCCCCUCCGUCUGCAGAUGGUCUUGCCGUUGCCGUCCAAACCCUACCGGCGGUUGCCCUUUUUGUCCGUGCCCAAGCUUAUCUAUCUCCUGGAGGUGCCGCCGGCAAGAAGAUCUUACAACUUUUUGGUGCACCACUAUUAG